CCACACGACUCUCGGCAACGGAUAUCUCGGCUCUCGCAUCGAUGAAGAACGUAGCGAAAUGCGAUACCUGGUGUGAAUUGCAGAAUCCCGCGAACCAUCGAGUCUUUGAACGCAAGUUGCGCCCGAGGCCACCUGGCCGAGGGCACGCCUGCCUGGGCGUCACGC
This 165-nucleotide ribosomal RNA is filed under the name Hookerochloa hookeriana. RNAcentral's name for it is "5.8S ribosomal RNA". It matches the Rfam family "5.8S ribosomal RNA". From Rfam's summary of the family: 5.8S ribosomal RNA (5.8S rRNA) is a component of the large subunit of the eukaryotic ribosome. It is transcribed by RNA polymerase I as part of the 45S precursor that also contains 18S and 28S rRNA. Lineage: Eukaryota; Viridiplantae; Streptophyta; Magnoliopsida; Poales; Poaceae. The record is from RNAcentral.